Molecule: transfer RNA, 70 nt
Filed under: Phodilus badius (oriental bay-owl)
Lineage: Eukaryota; Metazoa; Chordata; Aves; Strigiformes; Tytonidae
Description: tRNA-Phe
Source: RNAcentral
GUCCCUGUAGCUUACAACUAAAGCAUGGCACUGAAGACGCCAAGACGGUUUUCCCCUACACCCAAGGACA